RNAcentral lists this ribosomal RNA (425 nucleotides) under uncultured bacterium. RNAcentral describes it as "partial 16S ribosomal RNA". It matches the Rfam family "Bacterial small subunit ribosomal RNA", at positions 29 to 526 of the family's 1533-position model. The record is from RNAcentral.
AGUGAACGCUGGCGGCGUGCCUAAUACAUGCAAGUCGAACGAAGUGGCGCACGGGUGAGUAAUAUAUAGUUAAUCUGCCCUACACAGAGGAACAACAGAUGGAAACGAAUGCUAAUACCUCAUAGUGUAGGAUGAGACUAUAUCGUAUCAGCUAGUUGGUAAGGUAAUGGCUUACCAAGGCUAUGACGCGUAACUGGUCUGAGAGGAUGAUCAGUCACAUUGGAAAUGAGACACGGUCCAAACUCCUACGGGAGGGAGCAGUAAGGAAUAUUGCGCAAUGGGGGAAACCCUGAUGCAUCAACGCCGCGUGCGGGAUGACGGCCUUCGGGUUGUAAACCUCUUUCGCUAUCGAACUUUUUUUGGUGGGUUGAGGGUAGGUGGAGAAGAAGCGCCGGCUAACUACGUGCCAGCAGCCGCGGUAAUAC